This 253-nucleotide ribosomal RNA is filed under the name uncultured bacterium. RNAcentral's name for it is "partial 16S ribosomal RNA". It matches the Rfam family "Bacterial small subunit ribosomal RNA", at positions 524 to 776 of the family's 1533-position model. The record is from RNAcentral.
UACGUAGGGUGCAAGCGUUGUCCGGAAUUAUUGGGCGUAAAGAGCUCGUAGGCGGUCUGUCGCGUCUGCUGUGAAAUCCCGAGGCUCAACCUCGGGCUUGCAGUGGGUACGGGCAGACUAGAGUGCGGUAGGGGAGAUUGGAAUUCCUGGUGUAGCGGUGGAAUGCGCAGAUAUCAGGAGGAACACCAAUGGCGAAGGCAGAUCUCUGGGCCGUAACUGACGCUGAGGAGCGAAAGCAUGGGGAGCGAACAGG